Paramuricea clavata is the source of this 208-nucleotide non-coding RNA. The record is from the annotation of a GenBank genome assembly. Lineage: Eukaryota; Metazoa; Cnidaria; Anthozoa; Malacalcyonacea; Plexauridae.
UGCAGAAAUUUUCGAAACGAAAAUUAUAUAUGCAAUUUAAUAUAUGCAAUGUCAUCACUAUUACGUAGUUGUAUACGGCCAACAGGCAGGACACAUGUUGCGAACAUUAUUAAAACAAAAAUGUUCAACUUAAAGUUAAAUUGUGUUUGUAAACAAAGUCCGAGACAAAGUCAAUACAUUAAUGAAAUAUGUAGAGUCUGUCUUAUCA